CAGAACAGCUGAGCUUUUCCUUCUGUUACAACAGUAUGCUCAGAGCUACCCAAGAAAGAAGACGCGACUGUCUGACUUGGAUGAAAAGGCUUGGCAAGGGGCCUUGAAGAGGCCGCUACAGAGAGAACCUAAAAGUCACGGUCAUGAAAGGUGUAUCCGGAUAAACUUUGGAGAGCCACAGCAAGGAGAACCUGGCUGACCUUGGGAGCCUUGGAGGGCAGAAGAUGCGUGUGGAGGUUGUUACGGCACAGCACUACAGUAACAGCCAUAGGAGGAGCGGGCCUUUGGAGGAAAUGCUGAGAUCAGUCCCAAGCACUUGACCAAGGCACCGACGAAGGACAAUGUCAGCAGAAGGAGCUGUACAGCAAGAUCAUCAAAGCAAUUUUAAUGUUUGCGGCUUCUCAAUUACCAGGAAGAUAUGGAGGUAUGGAGAAGCAGUGCUGUUAAUUUGGGGAAAUUAUUAGAGGUUGCUUCACGCUAUGAUAUGGGCUUUACUUAUUCAAGUGGAGUUAUCUGUAUCUUGAUAAAAAAUGAGAAGAUCAUAGAAUUUCUGUCCAGAUCAGUGUUGUUGCUCUCUGUUGAUGAAGUCUUUGAAAAGGACCUGUCAUCCUCGCUGAUCGCACACUGUAAUGUCUUCAUGCUCCCGACCAGUUCGGGUCAGUGAUGGAAUAUAUAAGCCCUCAGGAGCCACGGAGAUGUUUGUGUUGUCUGGUGUGGUACCUGCUCUGUUCCUUGUCAGUACCUUGGCAACCAGUGAAUGAUUUCCUAGCACAUCGAGGAAGAAGAAGCCAGAGAGUUGCAUGAAGGCCAGAAGGCAUAUUUUUCUUCCCAGGAGAGGAACCUGUUAGCUGGAAGAUGUCUUUUCCCUGUUGUGGGGAGAAAUGACUACUAUUUCACCAACCCAAGGGACAAAACUGGAAUCCACAAGCAUUAUUUUCCUUAAAUAGGACUAGACUUAGUCUUGGGCUGACUGUAACUGCUGAGUCAGUCCAGGUGCAUCUGAAAAUCUCAUAGUAAUGUUCGGAAAGAGCUGACAACGGCAGGAGCAUCAUUGCCUCAGCUGGAAUUAAAGCUUCAGAACUUUUGUGGAGAUACCCUGAGGUUUCAACUAGCAAGCACCCUGGUGGCUAUAACUAGCAUUGCCUCCUUCAUCAGACAUCCGAAAGCUGCCCUGUAACCCUGUCCAUAUCCUGAAUGAUCCUGUGCCUGCUGAACUUAUGAGAAGCACAAGUUGUGGCAAUUACAAAGAAGAAAGAAAGAAAGAAAUGCAUCUGGGCUUAUAUCCAAUUGGAUUACUGUCAACCACAUCCAGCUGAGAAGGGAAAAGACAGAUGUAUUGAUGGUCACUGAAAUGAGAUGGAACAAAAGACGACAACCUGAGCAGAGAAGAAAAGUGUGUUCUGUGAGUCACCAAACACCCAAAAAGUUUGACUGUUAGCUGCCUUACCUGCUGAGAUACGAAUGGAGACAGGUCCAGCUGACUAUGUGGUGCCUAAGGGACUUCAGCCCAAGCCUACCUGUGCGAUGCUGGAUUAAAUCACUUCAGUCCAGACUAUCAAGUAUUUUGCUCCCUAAUAUCUAUUAUGAUGGCAGGAACCAGUUGGCUAGAUGCCUUUAGGAUCUGUCAGUUGUUCUUCCUUGUUCUGCUGUAAAGAUCUUCCAAAAUAAUACAUUUUCUCAGAAUGAGA
Long non-coding RNA from Cygnus olor (mute swan), 1688 nucleotides. RefSeq lists it as uncharacterized. Lineage: Eukaryota; Metazoa; Chordata; Aves; Anseriformes; Anatidae. The transcript is spliced from 6 exons. The record is from RefSeq and is a predicted model, not a curated record.